CAGGCUUGCAGAUCAGACACUAAGUUUCCCAAAGGGAAUAUUGAAGAACCUCUACGUCUGAGUUGGUACCUUAUACGCUCCAGCAGAUUUCAUGGUGAUAGAGACUGAUACUGAUGAGAGGGCACCCAUCAUCCUAGGGAGGCCAUUCCUGAACACCUCGGGAGCUGACAUCUACGCUAGUGCUGCCAAGAUCAGUUUCUACAUCAAGGGGAAGAAGGAGACGUUUUCCUUCAAGAACAAGACUACACAAAUCCCAGAGCAAUCCCGACAUGAACCAAGGAAGAGGACCAACAGGAGGAACAGGAACAAGCAAAUGUGUACCGAGUCAGCUAAGAUGGUCACUGCAACUCAAGGAGGUCAAGAUUGUCAACUCAAGUCACCUUUCUUGAUCAAGAAGGACGACCCUGGUGUUCCAAGCAUCGAGUGCAUAAUCAACGGAUAUUCUUUUCAGAAGACACUCUACGACACCGGAUCUAACGUCAACAUAAUGGCCGCAGUUCGGAUCGGUGUUUGUAGGACCGUAGUCAGACCUUCCUAGCCCCCUUCUCAUCUCUUUCUAUGGUUAGUGCUCUGAUGUCCCGAUAUAGAUAAUCUUGAAGUAAUUCUUGAUUCUUAGAUCAACUAGAGAACUCUCAGGAAACUUCCUCUCUUCCCACCAAAAAUAGUUAUAUAGUUAUCCUUGGGCGAUCUUGGAUCUUAAUUAGUACACUCACGUUCCCUGUGGAAAGUCGAUACUCUGGAAUACUCCCGGGUGAAAGCUACAUCGGUAUCCGUGCGCUUGCGGAUUUUUCUGUUUGCGUUUAAAAUACCCAACAAGCUUUUUGGCGCCGUUGCCGGGGAACGGUAGUUCUGCUAGUUUCGAACCAAGUCGUCCGUGUAUCCUUUUUCUUUUCCUUUCUUACCACACUCACCUUAUCAUUUUUACCAUACCACAUGGAUUUCACUCUAAGCAUUAUUGAGCAUGGAAUUUAUUUCAUAGCCACUUCAUUUACUCCAUGCUCAUAUGCAACAUCUUCACAAUCCAUUGGUCUCUCCAACAUCACCACAUUCGAGAUCUCCAACCCCCUCAUCCUUUCUAUUUAUAAAAACUUUAAAAUGGCGGUUGUCGAUGCAUAUGUCUAUAAGAAAUAUUGCAGAUCUCGUUGAGUUGAUCUUGAUAUAGGUCAGCAUUGGAGGGGAAACCACUUCGCCGACAUAAAUUGAUGGUUUCCCAAGGACAAGCUUAGUGUCCUAAAACAAGCACUGAUUAGAUCAUAACAUGAGCUUUUAAUUAUUUGCCACAUUACCUUGUGAGUUGAGCAUAUAAGGAUAAUUGUAAAAAAAUUCCUUCGGGUAUUCUUGUCACUAACCUUUCCAGGAUUGGAGCAAGAAGAUCGGAUGAAUGACAAACACAAGGUAUGUCCAACCAAUCAUCAUACAACAUUGAAUUAAAUUCAUCCAAACUUGAAUUUUGCAAAAUUCAAGCUUGGAGGAGUACUUUACAUAAAAACAUCCUUUGUCAUGUUGCUAUGUUGGUUGUCCCUACCUUUGAGACAUGCUCAAUUUGUUAAAUACUAAUCACACUACUUCAUCUCCACUUGAGUAGAUCUCUAUAAAUGCUCUCAUGCUACCUUUAUUUGCUUUAGUAUAUGUCUAGGUUUGGAGUAGUUUCAUUUAUCUCUUAAUUAAGCAUGGUGCUUAGUUUAGGAAUGAUGAUCUUACUUCCAAAGGAUUUUAAAUUAAGCAUGAUGCUUCGGUUAAAAUGCCCUCCUAAAAUCAAAUUAGACAUGGUGUCUAGGUUGAUCUUUGAGCCGAUAGUAUGCUAUAGUAGAUAUUGGAUAUUUUGUUGGACUAACCCCUGCAGGAAAACUUUAACUAUCGACCUGGGAAGUCCUGAGAUAAACUCACAUUGGAGACAAAGAGAGAGACACAUGAAAGUUAACAAUUUACACAAGGAAGGCAUAGCUCACAAGAGAUGAUCCAUGGAGGGUGCCACAAACACGAUGCACAACCACUAAGAGAGGAAAGCUUCCACAAGGUGAUAUUGUACCAUCACUCUUCAAGUAAGGUAACAUCUUAAGGUACUUGACUAUCACUUCUAUAAGCUUCUCCUUGAUUCUGGCGUUCACAUGAAUAAAAGAGACAAACAUGUAUGAUUUACAACUCUAGAUUAACCAACCCAAUCGAUUCAACAUGUUUAGUCCUUCCACCUUUGUGAUUCCACACUCCUAAUCAUAUGAACUAAAAUGUUGCACACUCAAUCUUUGGAAGAUAUAUAUAAAAAAAACAUAAAUAUAGAUAGAUUAUCUUUCCAUUAGGUUGAGCGAUUUGAUCUGACAAAUGUUUUAAAUGUUACACCCAUGAUCUUAUUAUCCAUCAACUUUGUCUUCCUCACUAUGCUUAAGGUUAGAGAAGAAUAAAUACACUUUUGGUUCUGUUGGUGUUUUCCACCAACUGGGCCCAUGCACUUGAUCUCUGCCUUGUCUUUAUGAGCAGGUACACUUCGAACAAAAUAUGAAGGAGUUUUAUAACUCCCAGACUCCACCAAGUGAAGAACCUAGAUCUACGAGCACAAACACACUGGAGAUACUGGACACUCAGGCAAUCACUGCCCUGAGAUGCUUGAGGACGUAACUACUGGAGUAACCCUAUUGUGGAAGUAAUUACUGACCUUCUGCCGGUCAAGAGAUACAAUCCAGGACGUCCCGUCAUCCCGAUCUCCAUCGGCAUGGUGGACUUCCUAGAAGCACUCUGCAACUUUGGCUCCAGCGUCAACAUUAUGCUCAGGCUUGCAGAUCAGACACUAAGUUUCCCAAAGGGAAUAUUGAAGAACCUCUACGUCUGAGUUGGUACCUUAUACGCUCCAGCAGAUUUCAUGGUGAUAGAGACUGAUACUGAUGAGAGGGCACCCAUCAUCCUAGGGAGGCCAUUCCUGAACACCUCGGGAGCUGACAUCUACGCUAGUGCUGCCAAGAUCAGUUUCUACAUCAAGGGGAAGAAGGAGACGUUUUCCUUCAAGAACAAGACUACACAAAUCCCAGAGCAAUCCCGACAUGAACCAAGGAAGAGGACCAACAGGAGGAACAGGAACAAGCAAAUGUGUACCGAGUCAGCUAAGAUGGUCACUGCAACUCAAGGAGGUCAAGAUUGUCAACUCAAGUCACCUUUCUUGAUCAAGAAGGACGACCCUGGUGUUCCAAGCAUCGAGUGCAUAAUCAACGGAUAUUCUUUUCAGAAGACACUCUACGACACCGGAUCUAACGUCAACAUAAUGGCCGC
Molecule: long non-coding RNA, 3258 nt
Filed under: Sorghum bicolor (sorghum)
Lineage: Eukaryota; Viridiplantae; Streptophyta; Magnoliopsida; Poales; Poaceae
Description: long non-coding RNA (SBIC_LNC006228)
Source: RNAcentral